This 253-nucleotide ribosomal RNA is filed under the name uncultured bacterium. RNAcentral describes it as "partial 16S ribosomal RNA". It matches the Rfam family "Bacterial small subunit ribosomal RNA", at positions 524 to 776 of the family's 1533-position model. The record is from RNAcentral.
UACGGGGGGGGCAAGCGUUGUUCGGAAUUACUGGGCGUAAAGGGCUGGUAGGCGGCCAACUAAGUCGGAUGUGAAAUCCCCAGGCUUAACCUGGGAACUGCAUCCGAUACUGGUCGGCUUGAAUCCGGGAGAGGGAUGCAGAAUUCCAGGUGUAGCGGUGAAAUGCGCAGAUAUCAGGAGGAACACCAAUGGCGAAGGCAGCUCGCUGGGACGUGACUGACGCUGAGACGCGAAAGCGUGGGGAGCAAACAGG